Long non-coding RNA from Mangifera indica (mango), 333 nucleotides. RefSeq lists it as uncharacterized. Lineage: Eukaryota; Viridiplantae; Streptophyta; Magnoliopsida; Sapindales; Anacardiaceae. The record is from RefSeq and is a predicted model, not a curated record. The transcript has 4 exons.
AUUCAUGAACAUUGGAGCUUCUGGAAUCAAAUUCUUAUUUUGGAAUGAAACCUUCACAAGUCAAACUUCGGAAGCAGGAAAAAGUUGCAUGUUUUGAUGAUAAUGAGGCUUGGCUUGCUCUGGAUCCUAAAAACAAGUACAGAAUUCAGGCAUGAUACUGGUGUGAGAUGGAUUCUUUUCUUUCAAGAUAUCAAUGCACUUCUGUUAUGCAUUUCUGUUCAAGGGAAUUCCAGCAUCAUUAGGCGUCAGUCCUGCCGAGCAGUUCUAUGUUAACUCUCUUGCUGUUCCGCGCAAAGCGAAAGAAGCUAUUGGAGGCAGAACCAAGCUUACUUA